UGCUGCUCAACAUUACCAGAGCCUGCAAUCUGUGGGAUCAGUCGAAUAUGGGUAUUCAGCAUGAUGUGUCAGAAGAAAAUUGCUUCUCGCAUGAUUGAAUGCCUAAGGAGUAACUUUAUAUAUGCCUCAUAUUUGAGUAAAGAAGAAAUUGCUUUCUCAGAUCCCACUCCUGAUGGAAAACUGUUUGCAACAGAGUACUGUGGCACUGGUCAGUUUCUGGUGUAUAAUUUUAUAAAUUGACAGAAUAGC
Molecule: long non-coding RNA, 249 nt
Filed under: Homo sapiens (human)
Lineage: Eukaryota; Metazoa; Chordata; Mammalia; Primates; Hominidae
Description: non-protein coding lnc-TRIM64C-1:1
Source: RNAcentral